This 292-nucleotide ribosomal RNA is filed under the name uncultured eukaryote. RNAcentral's name for it is "partial 18S ribosomal RNA". It matches the Rfam family "Eukaryotic small subunit ribosomal RNA", at positions 6 to 292 of the family's 1831-position model. The record is from RNAcentral.
GGUUGAUCCUGCCAGUAGUCAUAUGCUUGUCUCAAAGAUUAAGCCAUGCAUGUCUAAGUAUAAACAUCUUUAUACAGUGAAACUGCGUACAGCUCAUUAUAUCAGUUAUAAUUUCUUUGAUGAUACCUUACUACAUGGAUACCCGUAGUAAUUCUAGAGCUAAUACAUGCGUUCAAUCUCGACUCGUGAGGGAAGAGAUGUAUUUAUUAGAUACAAAACCAAUUCGAACUUUGUUCGAUUUCUUGGUGAUUCAUAGUAACUGUUCGAAUCGCAUGGCUUUAUGCUGGCGAUA